GAUGAACGCUGGCGGCGUGCCUAAUACAUGCAAGUCGAGCGAACGGACGAGAAGCUUGCUUCUCUGAUGUUAGCGGCGGACGGGUGAGUAACACGUGGAUAACCUACCUAUAAGACUGGGAUAACUUCGGGAAACCGGAGCUAAUACCGGAUAAUAUUUUGAACCGCAUGGUUCAAAAGUGAAAGACGGUCUUGCUGUCACUUAUAGAUGGAUCCGCGCUGCAUUAGCUAGUUGGUAAGGUAACGGCUUACCAAAGCAACGAUGCAUAGCCGACCUGAGAGGGUGAUCGGCCACACUGGAACUGAGACAAGGUCCAGACUCCUACGGGAGGCAGCAGUAGGGAAUCUUCCGCAAUGGGCGAAAGCCUGACGGAGCAACGCCGCGUGAGUGAUGAAGGGCUUCGGAUCGUAAAACUCUGUUAUUAGGGAAGAACAUAUGUGUAAGUAACUGUGCACAUCUUGACGGUACCUAAUCAGAAAGCCAUGGCUAACUACGUG
RNAcentral lists this ribosomal RNA (497 nucleotides) under uncultured bacterium. Its description in RNAcentral is "partial 16S ribosomal RNA". It matches the Rfam family "Bacterial small subunit ribosomal RNA", at positions 28 to 507 of the family's 1533-position model. The record is from RNAcentral.